ACUCUGAGUAGGUAACAGGUACCAGCUACUGUCAGCAGGGAGGAAGGUAUGUGGUGACCACGAGUCCAGACCUGAGGGUCCCGAUCCUCUAAUGCGGCCUCUCACCAGUGUUCGCAGAAACCCACCCGCUGAUUCAAUACGGGGACCAGGAACCUGCCGUGACAGUCACGACUCAGUCUGCCUGCACCCACAUGAUUAAAAAGCUUUAUUGCUCACACAAAGCCUGUUUGGUGGUCUCUUCACAUGGAUGUGCAUAACAUUUGGUGCCAAAGACCCCGGACAGUGUGACUCCUUCGGGAGAUUGGUCCCCUGUCCUCACCCUCACUCCAUGAGAAGAUCCACCUACGACCUCAGGUCCUCAGACCAGCCCAAGGAACAUCUCACCAAUUUCAAAUCGGAAGACAGGAAUGUCAGGCCUCUGAGCCCGAGCUAAGCCAUCAUAUCCCCUGUGACCUGCACUUAUACAUCCAGAUGGCCUGAAGCAACUGAAGAACCACAAAGAAGUGAAAAUACGCAGUUCCUGCCUUAACUGAUGACAUUCCACCACUGUAAUUUGUUCCUGCCCCACUCUAACUGAUCAGUUGACCUUGUGACAUUCCUUCUCCUGGACAAUAAAUCUCAGGAGCUCCCCACCGAGCACCUUGUGACCCCCACCUGUACCCGCAAGAGGACAACCCCCUUUAACUGUAAUUUUCCACUACCUACACAAAUCCUAUAAAACCGCCCCAUCCCUAUCUCCCUUUGCUGACUCUUUUUUCAGACUCAGUCUGCCUGCACCCACACGAUUAAAAAGCUUUAUUGCUCACACAAA
Molecule: long non-coding RNA, 811 nt
Organism: Pan troglodytes (chimpanzee)
Lineage: Eukaryota; Metazoa; Chordata; Mammalia; Primates; Hominidae
Exons: 3
Source: RefSeq, a predicted model, not a curated record